This 3431-nucleotide unclassified non-coding RNA is filed under the name Leishmania donovani. RNAcentral's name for it is "gene:LdHU3.07.0950(CDS-product:topoisomerase-rela ted_function_protein-like_protein)". The record is from RNAcentral. Lineage: Eukaryota; Euglenozoa; Kinetoplastea; Trypanosomatida; Trypanosomatidae.
CCGUGCAAUCACGCGCGUAUACAAUUCCUUUCUCUCCCUCUUUCUUGGUCUGCGUGGCCGCAUCGACGCCCUUCGCUUCCUGCCCUCCCUCUCUCUGUCUCACUCUUCACGCGUGUUCCACGAAGGAAAAGUAUAUAAGGAGGGCGACGUGAGAUCGGCAGCCCUGAUUGUUCCCGCGUCUUCGUCGUGCUCGCACACAUUGCCAUGAAGCGCCGUGGCGGCCGUGUCGUGAGCUCCAAGAGCACCGUGGUUGGCGCGUCAAGUGCUGCUGUCACUCCCGAAGCACCAGGUCUUUCUGCUGCUGUCAACGGCCAUGAUGCAUCCGUCGCCGCCGCCGCCACUGCUGCUGCUGCUGCUGCUGCGUCCUUGUCACCAUCUCUGACGUCACCGACAACACCAGUUGCGCGAGAUGAGCCGCGGAGAUCGGGUAAUCCUGUGACUAGUGCGAGCGCCACGAUGAUGGAUGUGCCGACGCCGACACUGACGAUACCGACGCUAGACAUCUUCGCGCGCUUUCAGAGCAAGCGGGACGACUUUGAUGAGGACUGGCUCCUGCUCCAGGAGGAUCCCGCCGCGAGGAAUGAGACGCCUCGGAUCGCCGCGCACGUCGCGGACAAGCUUCGUCGUCACCAGGCGCAGCUUGGCGCCCACCGUGCCGCCGCUGCAGCGGAUCGAAUUCGGCAGGACAAAGACCGAGUCGUGCCAGCACGUGCUGCAGCGAAGACGGUGAGCUCCGUCAGCGGCGACGGCCUCGACACUGUUGCGACGGAGGGUCCACGGCAGGCACGCCGUCAGCGCCGUCCCGAAACCUAUGACUCUGCCGAGGACAGCGGCAGCGACGGCGCAGGCGCCGACGCGGACAUCGGUACUGUUGCCGCUGACAACGACGGCGAUGAUAGCGACGAGUACGUGCCGGAGGAUCGCACGGCCUCGCAGUACAAGCGGCCGCAAAACGCAAAGAAGGCGGCCUCCAAAGAUGAGGGCUCUGCGGGCGUGGCUCUCAGUGGCGGCUCCCCGCCUGUGAGUACGCCUGCGGGGCGCACUGCUGCUGCUGGUGCCGGCGCUGAGGCAGCUUCCGUGAACCCAUUCACACCCUUAUCGGAGGACGAGGAGCAGCUGGAUGUGGAGGCCGAGCACGAUGGCCUCACAGGCGACUACCUGAACUUCCGACUCACUUCCGCGACGGGAAGUAGGGCGCUCGACGCCGAUGCACUGCAGGCGACCGUGCACCUGCAGCCUUCUCCCUCUCACGGCGAGAAACGCAACGUGAACGACCGCAGAUCCUAUCGCAGCCAGGAGCAGCGGCGCCAGACACCACUAUCACCGCAGCAGACGGAGCAAGAUCGUGUGUUGGUGGUGCCGCUGUGGAGCAUCGCGCGGAUGGAGCAGCACGGCGGCUACUGUAGCGCCAGCCCCCUCAUCGCCCUCCACCAGGAGGUCACGGACCUCGUCGACUACCUUCGCCCGACAGAGGCGGAGGUGACGAUGCGGCGCUACAUCGAGAAGGAUAUUGGCCGGCUGGUCGAUCGGCUGUGGCCUGGCAGCUCGGUACUCGUCUAUGGCAGCAUGUACACCCACCUGCUGCUGCCGCUGUCGGACCUUGACAUCACACUGUUGGAUGUGCCGGUGCCGGCGGAGGAGGCGCUCACCAGCUUGGCAAAGGAGAUCAGCAGCGCGGGCCUGUGCGAGAACGUCUAUCCGCAGGUGAUUCUCAAGACGAAGGUGCCCCUCAUCAAGUUCGUCCACAAGGGCUCGCUCAUCGACGUCGACAUCAGUGUUGGCGCCGUGGACGGGAAGCGCAACUCGGAGUGCAUUGUGCAGUACAUGAACAUGUACCCAGAGGCACUGCCGCUUACCUUGGUCGUGAAAUACUUUGUCAUGCAGCGCGGCAUGCAUGAGCCGUACUACGGAGGCCUUGGCAGCUACGCCGCCACGCUGCUCGUCGUCGCCUUCCUGCGGCAGCACCCCAUCUACACAACGCAGCCGGAGAAGCGGACCAUGACGGGGCUUGGCAGGCUACUAGUCGAUUUCUUUCGUAUGUGCGGUCAGCAUUGGAACUACCGAAGAGUAGCUGUGUGCCUGGCGAACUACGCUGUGCCGAGCAACAUCGAUGACGCGAUGGCCGCGAACGUCCACGACGAAGGCGACUUCCGCAUUCGUGCCGACUGUGGCGGUCGGAUGCAGUCACCGGUGCUGGCCAGCCCCCCGCGCGGCCCGAUGGGCCCCGCGCAGGUGUGGAUAGAGGACCCGGUCGACGCCUCUAACAACGCCGCCAGCUCACUGCGGUUUUUCCAUUCUCUCUCCGCCAUGUUCUCCUACGCCUAUCUUGCCCUGACGACCGACUUCGACAGAGCCGCGGCGGACGCGGCGCAGCCGUCUUCGCCUGCGCCGUCAUCGUCUCCGUCAUCGCCGUCCUCGAACGACAUCAGCCGCCGUCCGACGCUGCUCUCGCGCAUCUUCCACGCCGAUGCGGAGAUGGUGUACCGUCGGCGGGCCGUGGCCGCGGCGUACAAGCGACUGAACGCCGAGAUGCCGGCGUACAUGAAGGAGGUUCAAGACUUCCGGCGCGAUGAGGACGCGGCGAUGCUGCAGGGCAAUUGUGACGGUGUGGCGCACAGCUGGCGCGCGCGACGGCUGCGGCGACGCGAGGGCGAUCCCAUCCUGUUUCCACAGCAGCGGAACGUCACGUCAUUGGAGGAGCGCUUGGCACUUUCCCAUCUGCGCGAGUCGUCCUCGCCACCUCCGCCGGCGUCGGAGGUUGACAUGAAGAAGCGCCAGCGCGAGGCGGGGGAUGAGGAUAGUCAGAGAAAGGUGCAGAGAGACCGCCGAGAGGAUUCUGCGUUGCCCUCUCGCAGCAGCUCGCGGUCGUCGCCGUGCACCACCGGCUCAGAGAGCAACGCCAGCUCGGUGCGCGUGGAUGUGACGAGAAGGACGGAGCGGAGCCGCAAGCUGCGACGGUAGUGAAGUACCCCCUUCCUCAUCUCAGCCUCCGCCCUUAGAGAGUGCAACGAUGAAGACCCCACGCACGCGCAUAACCGUGAUGAAGGAUUCCGAAAGGAGGACGAGGGGAAGGGAAGGAGCCCUGAAGAGGGGUCGGGGCUCACUGGUGCCGAUGCCGCGGUGUGUUGUCAUGAUGGCUGGCGCAAGUGCGCGCAUUCUCACACUCGUGUGUGUAUGUGUCUGUCUGCCUGUCUCUGUGUGUGUGCGCCGAUGCGCGCACGCAACACGCUUACAUGUGUGUGAGUGUAUGUUGCUCUUUUUUUUCGUCUGUGUAACUCUUCAAGAAUGGCGCAAGAGAAUGAGUUGCUUAACGCGCGUAAGACCCGACGCAACACGCAUUUCAUGCAGCGACUUCCUCUUCCCUAACCCGCCCACGCACAUCCAUGCGCUAUGCUUCUCUGCGAUGCACCAUCUGAUGGACACGUGCGUGU